AAUAUUGGACAAUGGGCGCAAGCCUGAUCCAGCCAUGCCGCGUGAGUGAAGAAGGCCCNAGGGUUNUNAAGCUCUUUCACCCGCGNAAAUGAUGACGGUACCUAAGGAGGAAGCCCCGGCUACCUACGUGCCAGCAGCCGCGGUAAUACGUAGGGGGCAAGCGUUGUCCGGAAUUAUUGGGCGUAAAGGGUGCGUAGGCGGCCUUUUAAGUCAGGUGUGAAAGCCCACGGCUUAACCGUGGGAUUGCAUUUGAAACUGGAAGGCUUGAGUAUCGGAGAGGGUAGUGGAAUUCCCAGUGUAGCGGUGGAAUGCGUAGAUAUUGGGAGGAACACCAGUGGCGAAGGCGACUACCUGGACGAAAACUGACGCUGAGGCACGAAAGCUAGGGGAGCAAACA
Molecule: ribosomal RNA, 397 nt
Filed under: uncultured bacterium
Lineage: Bacteria
Description: partial 16S ribosomal RNA
Rfam family: Bacterial small subunit ribosomal RNA
Source: RNAcentral